UCCCUGGUGGUCCAGUGGUGAAGACGUCAUGCUCCCGACACAGGGUGCCUGGGUUCGAACCCUGGUCAGGGAA
RNAcentral lists this transfer RNA (73 nucleotides) under Bos taurus (domestic cattle). It matches the Rfam family "tRNA". Rfam says of the family: Transfer RNA (tRNA) molecules are approximately 80 nucleotides in length. Their secondary structure includes four short double-helical elements and three loops (D, anti-codon, and T loops). Lineage: Eukaryota; Metazoa; Chordata; Mammalia; Artiodactyla; Bovidae. The record is from Rfam by way of RNAcentral. RNAcentral also lists the same sequence under 5 other names.